ACGCCGGGGCUGUGGGAAUAAGAUGGCGGGGAAGAAGAAUGUUCUGUCGUCCCUCGCGGUUUACGCGGAAGAUUCAGAGCCCGAGUCUGAUGGCGAGGCUGGAAUCGAGGCGGUGGGCAGCGCGGCUGAGGAGAAAGGCGGAUUGGUAUCUGAUGCCUAUGGGGAGGAUGACUUUUCUCGUCUAGGGGGUGAUGAAGAUGGUUAUGAAGAAGAAGAAGAUGAGAACAGUAGACAGUCGGAAGAUGACGAUUCAGAGACUGAAAAACCUGAGGCUGAUGACCCAAAGGAUAAUACAGAAGCAGAAAAGCGAGACCCCCAGGAACUCGUGGCCUCCUUUUCUGAAAGAGUUCGGAACAUGUCGCCUGAUGAAAUCAAGAUCCCGCCAGAACCCCCUGGCAGAUGUUCAAAUCACUUGCAAGACAAGAUCCAGAAGCUUUAUGAACGAAAGAUAAAGGAGGGAAUGGAUAUGAACUACAUUAUCCAAAGGAAGAAAGAAUUUCGGAACCCUAGGUAAGUUUCCCUUGAGUCUGCAGAGUUUAUUGAGUUAUUAAUGUUGGGCUAAGGACUAAGACGUCCCCAAGGAGGUGGUGAGGAAAAGCCCUGAGCCCAAACCAUCACCCAGACUUGUCAUUACACUGAGUGCCUGCUGGACAUGGCAGACUGUGCUAACCUAGCCAGAGGCUUGCCAUUUAAGAUCCAGACAAAACACAAAGCAAUCCAUACCGAGGAUGAGGGAGACCUGGCUGAGUUCUCGUCCCUGCUCUGAGCCUAAAGCACAUGACCUCUCAAGGCCCCUGUCCUCAUGGAAGGAAUUGGACUAGACAAUUACUGUAGGUUCAUCUUCCAACUCUAAAAAGCUGAUUUUUGCGUAUAGGUGAGAGGUCUUAGGACCAGAGCUAUGUCUGGUCUUGCUCCAUUUAAUGCUCAAGCUAGUGACAUACAGGGGAAAGAGCAUGGCCCUUGUGUGGGUCUGAGUGUGGUAAGCCCAAUCCAGCUAUGCAGACUGAAGGUCAGUGAGACAAAACUCAGCCAUCACCUUGACCCCAUGCUCCUCCCGGCCCCUAGUUAACAGGUCCAUCUCCCUGG
RNAcentral lists this small RNA (1086 nucleotides) under Pongo abelii (Sumatran orangutan). RNAcentral describes it as "retained intron". The record is from RNAcentral. Lineage: Eukaryota; Metazoa; Chordata; Mammalia; Primates; Hominidae.